RNAcentral lists this ribosomal RNA (350 nucleotides) under uncultured Alistipes sp. RNAcentral describes it as "bacterial SSU rRNA". It matches the Rfam family "Bacterial small subunit ribosomal RNA", at positions 9 to 353 of the family's 1533-position model. The record is from RNAcentral. Lineage: Bacteria; Pseudomonadati; Bacteroidota; Bacteroidia; Bacteroidales; Rikenellaceae.
GAGUUUGAUCUUGGCUCAGGAUGAACGCUAGCGGCAGGCCUAACACAUGCAAGUCGAGGGGCAGCAUUUUUAUAGCAAUAUAAAAGAUGGCGACCGGCGCACGGGUGCGUAACGCGUAUGUAACCUACCUUAAACAGGGGGAUAACACCGAGAAAUUGGUACUAAUACCCCAUAAUACUAUUGGAGGCAUCUCCGAUGGUUGAAAGUUCCGGCGGUUUAAGAUGGACAUGCGUUGUAUUAGUUAGUUGGUGAGGUAACGGCUCACCAAGACGACGAUACAUAGGGGGACUGAGAGGUUAACCCCCCACAUUGGUACUGAGACACGGACCAAACUCCUACGGGAGGCAGCA